Caenorhabditis brenneri is the source of this 73-nucleotide non-coding RNA. The record is from the annotation of a GenBank genome assembly. NCBI's taxonomy places the organism in Eukaryota, Metazoa, Nematoda, Chromadorea, Rhabditida, Rhabditidae.
GGCGCAAAUGGCGCAGCCGGUAACACUUUUGUCUAUGAAACACUCGACGGGGGUUCGAUCCCCACUGAGGCCC